AACGCAUAUUGCGCUCGAGGCUUCGGCCAAGAGCAUGUCUGCCUCAGCGUCGGUUUGUCCACUCAAUAACGGACAUGUUUUCUCGAGCGAGCCCUGGCUUCGGUUGGGUGCUUGAUCGGAGGUGACCUUCCCAGGAGCGCUUGUCUCCUGGGUCGGUUGAAGUGCAGAAGUAUGCGCACACCCUACCUUCACGGGUGGGUCACAGCUGGAUUGGCAUCAUGAUAUGUUGCACAUAGCUGUCGUCUCACGAGGGGUGUGGCUGCUGAACCGCAGGACAGUGUGGGUGGUGGGUACCCCCUUCUUUCCUCUCACUUGCCCACGCGCCACCCAUCUGCCCGCCUUUUCCAUCUCGACCUGAGCUCAGGCAAGACCACCCGCUGAACUUAA
Molecule: unclassified non-coding RNA, 387 nt
Filed under: uncultured fungus
Lineage: Eukaryota; Fungi
Description: partial contains 5.8S ribosomal RNA, internal transcribed spacer 2, and large subunit ribosomal RNA
Source: RNAcentral